Molecule: transfer RNA, 86 nt
Filed under: Candidatus Omnitrophota bacterium
Lineage: Bacteria; Pseudomonadati; Candidatus Omnitrophota
Description: tRNA-Leu
Rfam family: tRNA
About the family: Transfer RNA (tRNA) molecules are approximately 80 nucleotides in length.
Source: RNAcentral
GCGGUUGUGUUGGAAUUGGUUUACAAAUAAGACUUAAAAUCUUAGGAAGCAAUUGCUUCAUGCGAGUUCAAAUCUCGCCUUCCGCA